This 253-nucleotide ribosomal RNA is filed under the name uncultured bacterium. Its description in RNAcentral is "partial 16S ribosomal RNA". It matches the Rfam family "Bacterial small subunit ribosomal RNA", at positions 524 to 776 of the family's 1533-position model. The record is from RNAcentral.
UACGUAGGGGGCAAGCGUUGUCCGGAAUCAUUGGGCGUAAAGCGCGUGUAGGCGGCUCGAUAAGUCUGCUGUGAAAGUCCAGGGCUCAACCCUGGGAUGCCGGUGGAUACUGUCGAGCUCGAGUCCGGAAGAGGCGAGUGGAAUUCCCAGUGUAGCGGUGAAAUGCGUAGAUAUUGGGAAGAACACCUGAGGCGAAGGCGGGUUGCUGGGCCGACACUGACGCUGAGGCGCGAAAGCAUGGGGAGCGAACAGG